GACGAACGCUGGCGGCGUGCUUAACACAUGCAAGUCGAACGGAAAGGCCCUGCUUUUGUGGGGUGCUCGAGUGGCGAACGGGUGAGUAACACGUGAGUAACCUGCCCUUGACUUUGGGAUAACUUCAGGAAACUGGGGCUAAUACCGGAUAGGAGCCCCUGCUGCAUGGUGGGGGUUGGAAAGUUUCGGCGGUUGGGGAUGGACUCGCGGCUUAUCAGCUUGUUGGUGGGGUAGUGGCUUACCAAGGCUUUGACGGGUAGCCGGCCUGAGAGGGUGACCGGCCACAUUGGGACUGAGAUACGGCCCAGACUCCUACGGGAGGCAGCAGUGGGGAAUAUUGCACAGUGGGCGGAAGCCUGAUGCAGCAACGCCGCGUGCGGGAUGACGGCCUUCGGGUUGUAAACCGCUUUCGCCUGUGACGAAGCGUGAGUGACGGUAAUGGGUAAAGAAGCACCGGCUAACUACGUG
This 468-nucleotide ribosomal RNA is filed under the name uncultured bacterium. RNAcentral's name for it is "partial 16S ribosomal RNA". It matches the Rfam family "Bacterial small subunit ribosomal RNA", at positions 28 to 507 of the family's 1533-position model. The record is from RNAcentral.